RNAcentral lists this long non-coding RNA (571 nucleotides) under Gossypium raimondii (Peruvian cotton). Its description in RNAcentral is "long non-coding RNA (GRAI_LNC005836)". The record is from RNAcentral. Lineage: Eukaryota; Viridiplantae; Streptophyta; Magnoliopsida; Malvales; Malvaceae.
UCCCUCUCUCCCUCUCCGUAGUUCAAUUGGGCAAUGAUUUUAUUGAGAGUUGUAUUCAAGAUUUCAUUUUCGGCAGAUACCGAAACUUUCAUUCAAACCUCCAAGAUUUCAUCUUCCUGUCUCUCCCAAAAACUUGUGGGUAGCAAGCAUCUGAGUUGAGCAUUUCAACUGUACAAAUAUGAACUACAAAACUCUACCCAAAAUCCAAUCCCAUCGAAAACCAAGCUGAGUCUAUUGACGAAGUGCAGCUGGUUGAAAAUUAGACUUGAAAAGUCACCAUCACACAAAUAUCCAAAAGCGCAGAGGAUCAAUCCUUCUUUCAUAAUAAAAAGUGAAACAAUUUUCUAACCAUCUCAAUCCCAUUGCUUAAUUACAAAGGAUACGUUCUAUCAUUGCCUCGCUUCUCAAGUCCCCGGCUCCAAACUGUAAACACCAGAUUAGGUCGGAGAUUCAAAUCAAUGAAUCAGAAGACUUGUUACAGGAUGACAAAGGCAGUCUAUGUAUGGAGAGAGAGGGAGGGGGUAAGAGGGAUAGGCAUGGGCUGGGGGGAGGCAGUGGCGGGACGGUGGAU